UACGGAGGGUGCAAGCGUUAUCCGGAUUCACUGGGUUUAAAGGGUGCGUAGGCGGGCAGGUAAGUCAGUGGUGAAAUCCUAGAGCUUAACUCUAGAACUGCCGUUGAUACUAUCUGUCUUGAAUCCCGUGGAGAUGAGCGGAAUAUGUCAUGUAGCGGUGAAAUGCUUAGAUAUGACAUAGAACACCAAUUGCGAAGGCAGCUCGUUACACGAAGAUUGACUCUGAGGCACGAAAGCGUGGGGAUCAAACAGG
This 253-nucleotide ribosomal RNA is filed under the name uncultured bacterium. Its description in RNAcentral is "partial 16S ribosomal RNA". It matches the Rfam family "Bacterial small subunit ribosomal RNA", at positions 524 to 776 of the family's 1533-position model. The record is from RNAcentral.